RNAcentral lists this ribosomal RNA (497 nucleotides) under uncultured bacterium. RNAcentral describes it as "partial 16S ribosomal RNA". It matches the Rfam family "Bacterial small subunit ribosomal RNA", at positions 28 to 507 of the family's 1533-position model. The record is from RNAcentral.
GAUGAACGCUGGCGGCGUGCCUAAUACAUGCAAGUCGAGCGAACGGACGAGAAGCUUGCUUCUCUGAUGUUAUCGGCGGACGGGUGAGUAACACGUGGAUAACCUACCUAUAAGGCUGGGAUAACUUCGGGAAACCGGAGCUAAUACCGGAUAAUAUUUUGAACCGCAUGGUUCAAAAGUGAAAGACGGUCUUGCUGUCACUUAUAGAUGGAUCCGCGCUGCAUUAGCUAGUUGGUAAGGUAACGGCUUACCAAGGCAACGAUGCAUAGCCGACCUGAGAGGGUGAUCGGCCACACUGGAACUGAGACACGGUCCAGACUCCUGCGGGAGGCAGCAGUAGGGAAUCUUCCGCAAUGGGCGAAAGCCUGACGGAGCAACGCCGCGUGAGUGAUGAAGGUCUUCGGAUCGUAAAACUCUGUUAUUAGGGAAGAACAUAUGUGUAAGUAACUGUGCACAUCUUGACGGUACCUAAUCAGAAAGCCACGGCUAACUACGUG